GAGCUCGCUUCGGCAGCACAUAUACUAAAAUUGGAAUGAUACAGAGAAGAUUAGCAUGGCCCCUGCGCAAGGAUGACAUGCAAAUAAAUGCCAACACUGAGAUGACA
Small nuclear RNA from Tupaia belangeri (northern tree shrew), 107 nucleotides. NCBI's taxonomy places the organism in Eukaryota, Metazoa, Chordata, Mammalia, Scandentia, Tupaiidae. The record is from Ensembl.